Molecule: transfer RNA, 77 nt
Filed under: Trichonephila inaurata madagascariensis
Lineage: Eukaryota; Metazoa; Arthropoda; Arachnida; Araneae; Nephilidae
Description: tRNA-Leu
Source: RNAcentral
GGUAGCGUGGCGAGCGGUCUAAGGCGCUGGUUUAAGGCACCAGUCUCUCCGGAGGCGGGUUCGAACCCACGCUGCCA